GACGAACGCUGGCGGCGUGCCUAAUACAUGCAAGUAGAACGCUGAAGCUUGGUGCUUGCCCCGAGCGGAUGAGUUGCGAACGGGUGAGUAACGCGUAGGUAACCUGCCUGGUAGCGGGGGAUAACUAUUGGAAACGAUAGCUAAUACCGCAUAAGAGUAGAUGUUGCAUGACAUUUGCUUAAAAGGUGCAAUUGCAUCACUACCAGAUGGACCUGCGUUGUAUUAGCUAGUUGGUGAGGUAACGGCUCACCAAGGCAACGAUACAUAGCCGACCUGAGAGGGUGAUCGGCCACACUGGGACUGAGACACGGCCCAGACUCCUACGGGAGGCAGCAGUAGGGAAUCUUCGGCAAUGGACGGAAGUCUGACCGAGCAACGCCGCGUGAGUGAAGAAGGGUUUCGGAUCGUAAAGCUCUGUUGUAAGAGAAGAACGAGUGUGAGAGUGGAAAGUUCACACUGUGACGGUAUCUUACCAGAAAGAGACGGCUAACUACGUG
Molecule: ribosomal RNA, 497 nt
Filed under: uncultured bacterium
Lineage: Bacteria
Description: partial 16S ribosomal RNA
Rfam family: Bacterial small subunit ribosomal RNA
Source: RNAcentral